ACGGGAGGCAGCAGUGGGGAAUAUUGGGCAAUGGGCGAAAGCCUGACCCAGCGACGCCGCGUGAGGGAAGAAGGUCUUCGGAUUGUAAACCUUAGUCAACAGGGAAGAAGCAAGUGACGGUACCUGUGGAGGAAGCCACGGCUAACUACGUGCCAGCAGCCGCGGUAAUACGUAGGUGGCGAGCGUUAUCCGGAUUUACUGGGUGUAAAGGGAGCGUAGACGGUAUGGCAAGUCUGAAGUGAAAUGCAUGGGCUCAACCCAUGAACUGCUUUGGAAACUGUCAAACUAGAGUGCAGGAGAGGUAAGUGGAAUUCCUAGUGUAGCGGUGAAAUGCGUAGAUAUUAGGAGGAACACCAGUGGCGAAGGCGGCUUACUGGACUGUAACUGACGUUGAGGCUCGAAAGCGUGGGGAGCAAACAGGAUUAGAUACCCUGGUA
This 437-nucleotide ribosomal RNA is filed under the name uncultured Clostridium sp. RNAcentral's name for it is "partial 16S ribosomal RNA". It matches the Rfam family "Bacterial small subunit ribosomal RNA", at positions 341 to 792 of the family's 1533-position model. Lineage: Bacteria; Bacillati; Bacillota; Clostridia; Eubacteriales; Clostridiaceae. The record is from RNAcentral.